This 206-nucleotide small RNA is filed under the name Vigna angularis var. angularis. RNAcentral describes it as "Non-protein coding transcript". Lineage: Eukaryota; Viridiplantae; Streptophyta; Magnoliopsida; Fabales; Fabaceae. The record is from RNAcentral.
CGUGGUGGUCCGAUACGAGAAGGAUGGUGACUCUAGGGUUUCUUGGCAAUUGGGAUUUUCUGAUUUCUAGUUUUGUAGGUAAUGAAGAUGAAUGUGCUGCAGUGAUGGAGUUGAUUUCACGGUGGUUAUGGAGGUUGAGGCGUUGUCUGUAGUCCAUAGUAAAACUAAUAUAUUUUUCUCUUAUAAAAGUUGAAGAGGUGGGAGAG